UAAAAAUUUACGGAAGGAUUCUGUUUUUAAGUGUAUCAUAUUUCGAAAUUGUAUUUAUUUCUAUUCGGCGCGCGCCAAAAUUUAUCCGGACAUAAUGUACGCUGCAUCUAUCCUCUCUUUUAAGGAACUUAGAACGCGUUAUUUGAAAUUCCGCAAUAUAUACUAGCAUUCUCAGAAACAUCGUGUCAUAUGAUCUGACAAUUCUACUAACUUUUCAGUCAAUUUCCAUCAAACUUUAUUCCGCUACAGUCUGCAUAUUCAUGCAUAUUCGAGAUGAGAGUCAUUUAACAACAUAUUUAUAAUAAAGUGUCAGCACGAAAAUGUCGUGCCAAAUCAAAGGAAUCGCUAAUUUGGUCGAUUUGCCCAACGUCAAGAAUUCCUUACUCAGAGAUGCUGGCUCCAAACUGGAUUAUGUACCGGAUAAAGAACUGCCUCUUCAAGAUCUUAUUAUCUCCUUAUCACCAGCAGGGGAUGUCCUCGCAAUUGCUUGGAAUAAAAAUAUGGUCAUUCUGACGUCAAAAUGGGAUUCGCAUGAACCUGGAGAUGUGAAAAUGAAAUUUCAUCUUACAUGGAGUGGAGAUGUAACGGAUGAGGAGAAUGAACAGAUAACAUGUCUGGCAUGUCUACCUCUUAUAUCUUUAGGCAAAACCAGUGCUGGUAGCGGUCCUGAUUGGACCUGUAUGGCCGUUGGAUUUUCUAGUGGGUUUAUAAGGUUCUAUACAGAGACUGGUGCAUUGUUGAUUGAUGAACAGCUUCACAAUGAAGCAGUUUUGGGAAUCAAAUGUCAAUCACAUUCUCCUUCCCGGCAUGUUGGAGAUUCUGUACUAUCCGAAGAGGUCCAUGUACUGUAUAACAGUGCAGUUUGCAUAAUGCAAGGGUUUCCGCUGUUUUCUACCUUGAGAGCAUGCAGAAACCACUUGGCUAGAGUGCAGGCCAAUUGCAAUGCUAAGCCUCCGGCAGCAAAUCUUUCAUAUAAAAAAUGGGGCUUUAAGAACCAAGGAAUCACAAAUGACAGUGAAGUCAUUGGUACAACAUCCGUAGACACCUUUGACCAUUUGAUGUCUGCGUCUAUUUGUGGUGGCUAUAAUGCUGCGUAUCGCUCUAGUGCACCACAACACAGUCUAGUUAUGGCAACUGGCAAAAGACCAUUUAUUGGUUUUCAUUACGCAUUGGAAGGUGGGGCUGCUCCAGUUUUAUCUGACGUCGCGAUUGCUAUGGCUAGCAAAUUAGCAAGUGCAAUAGGAACUGCUGUUCCAUGGUUUCGUGGAAACAAAAAAACUCCUACAUCGCCAGAAAAGACCAAAGGAGUUAUAAGCGAACCAGCAGAACCAAUGAUCUGCAGAUUUGGUUUGAGCGAUAUUAUGAGAGAAGGGGAUUGCAUUGUCGUAAGCCCUAAUAGGGCUCUAUCUAUCGUAUCAGAUGCUAUGGGGAGAGUUACGUUGGUUGAUAACAGACGUGGUGUUGCUGUAAGAAUGUGGAAAGGGUAUAGGAAUGCUCAAUGUGGGUGGAUUGAAGUUAUGGAGGAGAAAAACAAUGGAUCUCGCAAAAGUCGUGGCAGCAGCAGUAGCAGUAGUAGUGGUAAUGUUCACGGUCGGCGAAUUGCCUUAUUUUUGACUAUCUAUGCACCAAAGAAAGGAGUAAUUGAUAUUUGGGGAAUUCAACAAGGACCCAAAAUUGCAACCUUUUCUGCCAGUAAAAAUGGACGGCUGCUAUACACAAAUUACGGUCUUCUGGGUUUAAAUGAUAUGACGAUGUCAUCUGCAAACCGUGCGCAGUAUCCUUGUGUGUUUGUUGACCCUUUGGGAGGUCUGAAAGAAGUGAUUGUUCCAUUUCACUUCGCUCUGAGUAGUAAAAAUGGAAAAAGGGCUCGAGACUUACAUCUGCUCAAAAAAUUGAAAGCAUUUCUAAGGGAGGAAGAGUUUGACAGUGAGAAAUUAAUUAACGAAGUUACUUCUACAUGUAUGGAUUUCAAAACGAACGAAAUUCGCCUGCAGGCUGUAGAAAUGUUGAUGGUCAACAAGCAUAUCACCCCCGAAUCACUACUAGCAGCAUUGGACGUAUUUGUUGAAAACCUAUCGCAAUAUAAAGACGAUGAGUUUGAACCAGCUGCCAAAUCCCUUUAUCAAACCUCGACGCGGCUCCAAAGAGUUAUUGCGUUUUACAAAUCUGUUUACCUGCAAUUCAAUCAACCUCCUGAGUACAAUACCAUCGCUUCAGAUAGCUUGCCUAGUUGUAAACAGUUAUCGGGAAUUCUUUUAGCAUCUGAAAGAGAGAUACGACGUAUUUUAAAGUUAUCAAAGACGCUGAGUGAAUUCGAAAAGCCAAAAAGUAGAUCACAAACUAAGGUCCUAUUCAAAGAAGAUGGCAGUGCAUUUGUGGAUUUUCUAUCUUGCUUUGAAUUUGGUGGUUCAGGAGAUUUUAUUGGCAUAAAAAAAGACGUACCGGAAGAAAAGAAACACAACAUUUGUCAAUUGUUGUAUCAGGGCUGGUUGUAUUCAGAUGAUCCGAUUACAAAUUGGCAGAAUGUAGCUCUACACAGUUGCAUUCAGCCAGCUAUUCUAAUGCAAUUUGCACUUAUUUAUUGGUUGCAUAAAAAACCUGGGGCCCCACUGGAAGUCGAAUUGAAACGAUUCAAACAACUUCUUCACGCAAUUUGUUCUCUGAUAGAGGUAGAAGAAAUUUGUGUUGAAUAUAAUGAGAUAUCUUCGUGGUGGCAAGAAAUGCGAAAUAUAUUGUCAGACUCGACAAAUCCGUUCAAUGCACUGACAGCUGCGAUGGUUUGUAGAGCAGUGGCAAUGAAGCUUGAAAAAAGCAAAGAUACAGCAUACAACAGUGAACAGAAGGAUGGUAAUGGUAACAAGGAUGAAGAUGCAGAGAAUGGGAAUACUAGUGAAAAGAUGGAGGACUUAGAUGAAGAGCUUAAUAGAACCCCAGAAGAAGAGAAUUCCAGUUCAACAAGUGAUUGGGAAAAUGUAAGCAAAGAUACUUGCCAAUUUACAGCCCUUAUCAGCAAUCUCGAAGAUAUAGCUAUAUUAAAUGCUAUUGUCAGUCAAAAGCCACCAUCAGACCACACAACAGAAUUUUUCAGUCUGCCAUUUGAAAGUAUGAAUAUUUCUUUGGGCUAUGUUCUCUCCAGAGGCAAAGGUUCAGUAUCAGAAAUCGUUGCCAAGUGGCUUAGUUCAACGGGAAUUGAUCCAGCUCGUUUGAUAGACACAACAGAUGUGGAGUUUGAUCAAAUGCAAUUGUCAAUGGAUUCUUUAAAAAUAGCAGAAUCGUUAGAUGAAGCUGCAGCAAUGGAACUAUCGCAGCAAGACCAAAUGAAACUUCUCUCCGUUUCUGUAGAACUUGGUAGUGAAGCGCAAGCAGAUUCAACUGCACAAAGUUACAUUCUAGAAAAAUUAACUGUAUUGAAGAAAUCUUUCCCGUACAGUCUAACGACUAGUGUUUUGCUUGCUAAUCUUUGUUGGGAAUUUACUAUGACUUGGAAUAAGGAUGUCACGCAACUUGAUGCGCUUGAAGCAGCUUUAGCUGUUCUUAGACAAAUUCCUAUGAAGCAAAUGCGACAAGGAGUUUGCUGCCUUCUUUGGACACUGCACAUGAAAAAAAGGAUGGAGGCGGCAGCAAAACUGAUGAACAAGUCGGGAAAGUUGCCAAAAGAAAGAUAUUGUUUACAGGACGUUGGUGUUUCUGAUAUGCAACUAAUUACACUACUACAACUCUGUGUUAUGUUCUUGGAUAUAUUUCUAGACGCAGAAGUGAUGGAAAUUGAGAAUAGUUCGAUUAUAAAAUCAGAAGAAAUUUGGGAAAGUCAUCCCAUAGGUCCGCAACCCUUCGCAGCUCUAGCACUUUCUCAAACUCCUGCUUGGUAUGAACUCGUGAUGCUACAUCUGCAAUUGGCUAACGUCUUGCACAUGAUGGCUUACUUUAAUCUGAAAGUACAAAAGCCUUUGAACAUUCUUUUCGACUCUGUGUCGCAUCCAUAUUUUUUCCAAGACAUUACCAACAAAGCAUUGCUGACGUGGUUUCGAGAUGAAAAACGCGAUAGUGCAAGAACCGAGUUUCUUUGUCGUGUAAUCACUGCCACUAUGGACUCGAUUCAUCAAGAAACGACGGAAGAAAACAACUUUAGCUCUACGCAAGCUAUUACCUGGAUGAGCAAGUGUCAAACACUAGCUUCUAUAUGGAAAAUAAAUAACGAUGAGCUGAGAAUUCACCAAGUUUGUCAAUUAUAUAUUAACGGAUUUGACCGAUUGGCUGAAGAGCUGGAAGAAGAAUGAUGGCUUACCUAUCCAAAACGCCAGAUCUUCUGGAAGAAAUAUCAAGAAUAAGUCCUACGCUAACUACAUAUCUCGAGGGCUUGUGUAAUCCAAGCGCAGCAUAUACAAGUUGUUCAAAUAGCGAUACCAUAGAACUUAUUCAAAGGGUUUCAAGGACUUUACCUGAAACAUAUCCUAAUUAUCACAUCGCGCAACUGAUGCUUGAUGCUACGUUUAUUUAUGAAGGUAAAACGUGAUGAGCUAGUCUUUACUUCUGUCAACAAAGUAUUAAAACCACAGACGUGAA
This 4563-nucleotide unclassified non-coding RNA is filed under the name Neodiprion pinetum (white pine sawfly). Its description in RNAcentral is "rab3 GTPase-activating protein non-catalytic subunit, transcript variant X2". Lineage: Eukaryota; Metazoa; Arthropoda; Insecta; Hymenoptera; Diprionidae. The record is from RNAcentral.